This 746-nucleotide long non-coding RNA is filed under the name Equus asinus (donkey). RNAcentral describes it as "lncRNA (ENSEASG00005029032.1)". Lineage: Eukaryota; Metazoa; Chordata; Mammalia; Perissodactyla; Equidae. The record is from RNAcentral.
CUCUUCUCUUGAAUUGGAGUGAAUGUUUUGAACAACAAAUUAUGGUAGAAAUAAUGCUUUGUGACUUCGGAGGUGAGGUCACAAAAGACCACGAAGCUUCCUGCUGUUUCUUCCAGCUUCCAUUCUCUCUCUGGAAUUUCCCUCUUGGAUGCUUCCUUUUGGAGCUCAGUCACCAUGCCUUGAGAAACCCAAGCAGGAAAAGGUUGUGUGUAGGUGCUCUAGUUGACACUGUGAGCUGAGGUAAUCACUGAUACUGAAUAAUAUAGCAUCGUUAGAGCUAUUUAUAUACUGCAAUCAACAGAUGAAGUAAAUCAAACAGAUGAAAGAAUAGAAAGAAGAAAGAAAGAGACAGAGAGAGGAAGGAAGGAAGGAAAUAAAUUUUCUGGCUAACAAAACUGAGCCAGCACGGAGGAUUCAACAUCCCAAAAUAAUAUGGGCAGCAUUCUUAGACACCUGAAUGUCAAUUAAAUCGUUUACCAAGAGAAGAAGGAAGCAAACUGAGGGGGUGUGGGAAUGAGCGUUGAGGAGCUAUUUGUAACAACAAAAUGUACAUUAUAAAGUUAAGCUUGAAAUACCUCUUGUCUCUAUCUCUUCAGAUAUUAUUACUUCUUAUUAAAAAAUCUGAAAUGUGAAUCAGAAAAUCUCACCAUAGUCUUUUAAAGGCAUUUGAUGAUUCAUGAAUAUGUGUAUAAAAGACAAAAACCCUUUCUUGAUUAUAAAUAAAAUUGUGAUAGUAAUUGUUUUUC